This 558-nucleotide ribosomal RNA is filed under the name Strigatella scutulata. RNAcentral describes it as "partial 16S ribosomal RNA". It matches the Rfam family "Bacterial large subunit ribosomal RNA", at positions 1798 to 2613 of the family's 2925-position model. Lineage: Eukaryota; Metazoa; Mollusca; Gastropoda; Neogastropoda; Mitridae. The record is from RNAcentral.
GCCCUGGUUUUACAAAAACAUCGCUCUUUGUUGUAAAUCAAAUAGGGAGUCGGACCUGCCCAGUGAAUUUUUAACGGCCGCGGUACUCUGACCGUGCAAAGGUAGCAUAAUAAUUUGCCUUAUAAUUGAAGGCUGGUAUGAAUGGUUUGACGAGAAUAAAGCUGUCUCUUUAUAAUUUAGUAGAACUUUAUCUACAGAUGAAAAAGUCUGUAUGUUAUUAAAAGACAAGAAGACCCUAUCGAGCUUUAAAGAAUCUAGUAGAAAUAAGUAUAACCUAAAGCUAAUUAAGAGUUAAAAAGCCGAUCUUCUAGAAAUUUUAGUUGGGGCGACCGAGGAACAAGAAAAGCUUCCUUAAAAGAACUUUGCUCAUUAGCUUUGAUCCAGAAACUUCUGAUUAAUAAAAUUAGUUACCGUAGGGAUAACAGCAUUAUCUUUUUUAAGAGUUCUUAUCGAAAAAAAGGUUUGUGACCUCGAUGUUGGACCAGAAUGUCCUGAAGAUGCAGCAGUCUUCGAGGGUUGGUCUGUUCGACCAUUAAUAUUCUACGUGAUCUGGUUUCC